GAUGAAGAACGUAGCGAAAUGCGAUACGUAAUGUGAAUUGCAGAUUUCAGUGAAUCAUCGAAUCUUUGAACGCACAUUGCGCCCCUUGGUAUUCCGAGGGGCAUGCCUGUUCGAGCGUCAUUAUAACCCUCAAGCUCAGCUUGGUGUUGGGGCCUGCUGCACUGGCAGCCCUUAAAAUCAGUGGCGGCGCCAUCUGGCUCUAAGCGUAGUAAUUCUUCUCGCUAUGGAGUCCUGGUGGAUGCUUGCCAUCAACCCCCAAUUUUUCUAUGGUUGACCUCGGAUCAGGUAGGGAUACCCGCUGAACUUAAGCAUAUCAAUAAGCGGAGGA
Molecule: unclassified non-coding RNA, 328 nt
Filed under: soil metagenome
Description: partial contains 5.8S ribosomal RNA, internal transcribed spacer 2, and large subunit ribosomal RNA
Rfam family: 5.8S ribosomal RNA (bases 1-120)
Source: RNAcentral